Glycine soja is the source of this 1197-nucleotide RNA transcript. RefSeq lists it as uncharacterized. NCBI's taxonomy places the organism in Eukaryota, Viridiplantae, Streptophyta, Magnoliopsida, Fabales, Fabaceae. The transcript is spliced from 4 exons. The record is from RefSeq and is a predicted model, not a curated record.
GAAUAUUUGAUAAGGAGGUCCAAAAUAUCUCAUCUAAAUCUAACACAUCCCUUAAAAAACACAUGAGAAUGUGAGGUAGCUGAACUCUGAACUGAAAUCCUCAGCAGUUAGUUCAGUUAUGGUUGCUGAGAUUCCUUUCAAACACAAAAGAACCUCAGAUUUUGGUUCCUAAUUGACAACCAUGGCGGGUGCGUGCAGAGCACCCAUUUGCCAUCUUCCUCCGCAGAAGCCCAAAACCAGAAUCCAGAAUUCUCACAGCAGAAGAGCUCAACUUCCAAAUAGGCGUUUGUUCCUCUUCUCUCUGCCUCUCUCUAGUUUCCUUCUCCUUCCUGUUCCAAGCUUUGGUGAUGGUAACAAUGCAAUCAUUAUUGAUAAACUUCAAAGUGGGCCAUCUUCAUUUGCUGCCACAAUGUAUGACCCAGUAAGUGCGGCUGAAAGAGAAGCAAGUGCUUUGGUUUCAGAGAGAGUGUCUCAGGCAGUGGAGUUGCUGGAGAAAGGGAGGGAAUUGCAGACUCAGGGUGACUUUAGUGGUGCUCUUGAUUACUUUUCUAAGGUUAUUGAAAGCUACAAAGACUUAGCAUUCUCAGAAUAUGCAAGGGUAGGAAGAGCAUUGGCCCUAUAUGAAGUUGGUGACAGAGAAGAAGCAAUUGCAGAGAUGGAAGACGUUUCAAUAUCUCUAAAAGGGUAUCCAGAAAUACAUGCAGCUCUUGCAGCAGCCUUAUAUGCAGAUAAGCACGCCACUUUGCUUGCUGAAAACCAGUUUGCCAUUGCAACUCUUCUUGAUCCCCAUUUUACAGACCUUUCAUAUGUCAGAGACACAAAGCACUGGCCUCCAAGUUUGAUCAGUUCUCUGCAGCACUUCAUCACACUAUCUUAAGACCUCACAGGAUAUUUAUACGUUUUGUUUAUCCCAUACUAAGCAGUGCUAGCUAUAUGACGACUUCGAAGGUAUCUCUCAAAAUUUGUGACAAUGUUUCCAAUUCAGAAGCUAGAUUGCUCAACUCUAACACUAAAUUGAUGUAAUAUUGAAAUAAGCUUUCAAUCGAAAAUUUUGUGCUUGUAUGAAUUCUAAGCCAUUCAGGGAGUGUUAAUAAGGUAUCAUCUCCUUUUUUCCCCCUUUUUCGCUGCUAACUGACCUUGAAACGUGAUUGAAAUGAACAUCGAUGAUAAACCCUUCCACCUUUUUCUUAUGUUAAA